UUAAUGUAAGACACAUGUUGCGUAUAUGUUUAAACCUUGAUCAUUUAACCAUGAUUAAUUGAUCUGAUUUGUCACUUUAACUUAUAAGGUUAAGUUAUUUUGUUUAACGCGUAAAUACUGAGUGCGGAUAAGUGAAAAAAUGUUUUAGCCUCUUGUUUAUAUUUUCUUAUUUGGCAUUUCAUGUAUGUCCUUUGAUGUACAGACAACAUCUGCUGAGUCAAAAGUGCUAGUUCAACU
RNAcentral lists this long non-coding RNA (237 nucleotides) under Solanum tuberosum (potato). Its description in RNAcentral is "long non-coding RNA (STUB_LNC004874)". The record is from RNAcentral. Lineage: Eukaryota; Viridiplantae; Streptophyta; Magnoliopsida; Solanales; Solanaceae.